This 433-nucleotide ribosomal RNA is filed under the name uncultured bacterium. RNAcentral describes it as "partial 16S ribosomal RNA". It matches the Rfam family "Bacterial small subunit ribosomal RNA", at positions 29 to 507 of the family's 1533-position model. The record is from RNAcentral.
AACGAACGCUGGCGGCAUGCCUAACACAUGCAAGUCGAACGAGACCUUCGGGUCUAGUGGCGCACGGGUGCGUAACGCGUGGGAACCUGCCCUUAGGUUCGGAAUAACUCCCCGAAAGGGGUGCUAAUACCGGAUAAUGUCUUCGGACCAAAGAUUUAUCGCCUUUGGAUGGGCCCGCGUUGGAUUAGCUAGUUGGUAGGGUAAAAGCCUACCAAGGCGACGAUCCAUAGCUGGUCUGAGAGGAUGAUCAGCCACACUGGGACUGAGACACGGCCCAGACUCCUCCGGGAGGCAGCAGUGGGGAAUAUUGGACCAUGGGCGAAAGCCUGAUCCAGCAAUGCCGCGUGAGUGAUGAAGGCCUUAGGGUUGUAAAGCGCUUUUAACCGGGAUGAUAAUGACAGUACCGGGAGAAUAAGCCCCGGCUAACUCCGUG